GAAAGGUUAAUAAUAUGGGAUAAUUACUGGAAAAUAUUUAAACGGGAGGACAGCGGGAUAGAAGUAAAAAUACGGGAUAAUCCCGGGGAAAAACGUGAGGGUUGACAGGUAUGGUGGUCAUCCUGUAUGGAUCCAAGCAUUAAACUGCACAGCAAUAACUGGAGAGUUGACAUUUCAGGGUUAAGCAUUUCCGAGUUGAUUUCAACUCACGAAGUGUUACUUUAACAUUUUCUGAUUGAAAUGGUGUUUAUUGUUGGAGUUAUUUCACUGUUCAUCAUGUCAGAGUUAGACCAACUCUGCAGAGACGUGAUUAAGCUCCGCCCCUGUAUGUCACUGCUUCGGUUGGAGACGAGUCCACGAUAAAUCAGCUCGAUUUUCUCUCCUCAUGCGGUUGACAGGGAACACUUCCAUGUUGCUGCAGGCAGCACGGGAUACAUUUCUUGGCAUCUGAAAGCAAUCCAACGAAAGAUUUGUCGAGGAUCUGCACCAUCACCGUGUCCAUGUCCAAUGAGCUGUUAAUGUACAAAGACAGCUGGAUGGGGAUGCUUGCCAAGAGGACAUGUCUUUGCUCAGCCAUACCACAGACAAUUCCCUGAUUUUUCAGAAAAUGAGAGAAACCUUUCAGCACCGUCAGAAGCUUGUUAAUGACCCAAGCAGAGGUGUUGAUAUCCUCUCCACCGUCCCAAGAUUCCUGGAUACCAAAGGAUUGGUGGAUCAAGACUUCCUCGCUGUUGGGCGUCAGAAGAGCAAGAUUGACAGCUUCUACAUCACCAUGGAUAAGCAUCUCAUCCCACGCCAGGCAAACCGCUCCCUACCUCGGGGCUUUCGACAAACUUUCCAAAACCCAUUUUGUGUUUAAUUUGUCGUACGAUGCUGCGUUACUGAAUUUUUACACAUUCUUGCAGACAACAGUGUAUAACAUUGAUGUGGGGAAAAUGAAGGAGUCACCCAGAGUCAGAGACUGGAGAGCCAGACUGCUUGACCAGCUAGUACCGGUCUCACUCUCUGAGUAAGAGGCUAAAACAAUACUGACCGGUUUCAUGUGUCAGAAUUUGACAUUUUAAUUUCUAUCCCAUUUGUAUGAUGGGGUUAUACUGGAACCGUUGAUAAAUGAUAUAAAAUUACUGGAAACCCAAGGCCUUAGUCUUAGUAGUGUUUGAUUGAGAGGAAUGAUUCUCAAACAGUAUACAGUGAGGAAGAUCCCAAAGUGAUCCUUUGUGGAAAAAAUAUGUUUGAUAUGCAUUACAAAUGUCUCCAAGACAACCCACAAUUGAAGUCCUUGUAUGGUUUGAAAAAGACUUCUACACUUAACUCAUUGAAGUAUUUCCAUGUUUGAAAUAAUUACUCAUUUGAUAUAAUGCAUGACCUUCUUGAGGGUGUGACUCAGUGUGAGAUCAAAUUUGCUUUUUGAAUAUCUCACAAAAAACUUAAUAUCACAACAGAACUUGCUUUCCAGGAUUUAUGGUUUUGACUACGGAUUUUUAGAACGAAAGAAACGUCCCACAAAGAUCAUUUUGGACAGUGCUGGCAAUGGCAUUGGUUUGAAUUCUAUUCAAACAUUGUGUCUUGUGAAAAACUUCCCACUGUUUGGUGACAUCAUUCCUGCAGGAAACGAAAACUGGAAUGUGUUACUGUUGUUACUUAAAAUAAUGAACAUGGUUGUGUCACUUUUUCUCACUCUAGGUACGACAAUAUAUUUAAAGCAUUUGAUUGUUGACCACCACAAACUAUUUAAGCACUUGUUUCCACAUAGAAACUUGCUACCGAAGCAUCAUUUUAUGACCCUCUGUAUAUGUGGUCUAUGAGGUGUGAAGCCAAAGACAAGAUUCAAAAACAUAACCAAAUCACUAAAAAGCAUCAGAUGGCUAUUGCUUAUCACUGGGAAAUAUUCACCCUCAAAUAAAAAGAGUAUGGACCAAUUAAGACUUAUUCCCUCAGAGAUGUGAAUGUGGUCAACAACGAAAUGCUUGAAAUGAUUUUGUCAAAAGAUGUUUUCUCAACUAGUGUUAAAGUUGAUGGUGUAGAAUAUACAUGUGGACUUGUUUGUCUUUUGUCAAAUAUGUGAUGUACUUUUGGUUGAAGGUAACACAUUUUGUUUAUUAACAAACAAGCUAUUCACCGAGAAUUCUUUUGAUGACCAUCAUCGUGCAUUUCGAGUGUUACAAAGUGAGGAAAGGUUCAUAAUAAAAAUGUCUGAGCUUAAAUUCCAUAAGCCAUUUGAUAUUCAAAGCUCAUACAAUGUUUCAGAUGAAAGUUUGUACAUUAUACCAUGAAAUGGUUUUGUUUAUUUGAAUCAAUGAAUAUAUUAUUUAAUAACAUUAAUUGGUGUUACUUUAACUCUGUUUUGUGAAUUAAAGAAGGAACUCUGGCACAGUGUUUUAACUAUUAUGAAAGUGUUCAUUUAACUCUGAAAAGUGUGGACCUAUAUAAACCCUGAAAAAGUGUUGAAAUCAACACUGGACUUUUUGCAAGGUCCAAGGUGUGGUUUAAACGGUGAGCUGGUUUAUGUACAUUCUGACUGAACCCAAUUGAAUCUAAUGAGAUAAACGCGUUAUUAAGGCUGUCGUUAUCGAUAUCCACAUGAA
This is a long non-coding RNA of Cottoperca gobio, 2585 nucleotides long. The record is from Ensembl. NCBI's taxonomy places the organism in Eukaryota, Metazoa, Chordata, Actinopteri, Perciformes, Bovichtidae.